UGAGGAAUAUUGGUCAAUGGGCGUAAGCCUGAACCAGCCAAGUCGCGUGAGGGAAGACGGCCCUAUGGGUUGUAAACCUCUUUUGUCGGGGAGCAAAGCCGCCCACGAGUGGGCGGAAGGAGAGUACCCGAAGAAAAAGCAUCGGCUAACUCCGUGCCAGCAGCCGCGGUAAUACGGAGGAUGCGAGCGUUAUCCGGAUUUAUUGGGUUUAAAGGGUGCGUAGGCGGCAUGGUAAGUCAGCGGUCAAAUCGAGGGGCUCAACCCCUUCCGCUCGUCGUAAAACUGCCGUGCUUGAGUGGGGCGAGAAGUAUGCGGAAUGCGUGGUGUAGCGGUGAAAUGCAUAGAUAUCACGCAGAACUCCGAUUGCGAAGGCAGCAUACCGGCGCCCGCACUGACGCUGAGGCACGAAAGCGUGGGGAUCGAACAGGAUUAGAUACC
This 438-nucleotide ribosomal RNA is filed under the name uncultured bacterium. RNAcentral describes it as "bacterial SSU rRNA". It matches the Rfam family "Bacterial small subunit ribosomal RNA", at positions 355 to 786 of the family's 1533-position model. The record is from RNAcentral.